This 374-nucleotide long non-coding RNA is filed under the name Homo sapiens (human). Its description in RNAcentral is "non-protein coding MIR202HG:7". The stretch from base 282 to 357 matches the Rfam family "mir-202 microRNA precursor family". Lineage: Eukaryota; Metazoa; Chordata; Mammalia; Primates; Hominidae. The record is from RNAcentral.
GAACUCCCGGCUCAGAGAGUUCUCCACCGCUCCUCCCAGGCUCACGAGGCUCACGGGCUACCCAGCGCCAGCGGCCCAGGAGGCUGGACCACAGGUAAGACGAGGCCCAAGGCCUGCCUCUGGGAACUCGGCCCUGGCUUGGCUCUGCCCUCCUCACUCCCACAGGAUCUCCGUGCCCACCAGGCCUCAGUCCCGACUUCUCCCUGCUGCCCGGCACGGGACCCUCCCCCAGGACAGCCACCUCCCAGUGCUGAAGAGCCGGCCCGCCUCAGAGCCGCCCGCCGUUCCUUUUUCCUAUGCAUAUACUUCUUUGAGGAUCUGGCCUAAAGAGGUAUAGGGCAUGGGAAAACGGGGCGGUCGGGUCCUCCCCAGCG